RNAcentral lists this ribosomal RNA (308 nucleotides) under Euperipatoides kanangrensis. Its description in RNAcentral is "eukaryotic LSU rRNA". It matches the Rfam family "Eukaryotic large subunit ribosomal RNA", at positions 666 to 919 of the family's 3401-position model. The record is from RNAcentral. Lineage: Eukaryota; Metazoa; Onychophora; Udeonychophora; Euonychophora; Peripatopsidae.
CCAAGGAGUCUAACACGUGCAUGAGUCAUAGGGUUUCCCUCGAAGCCCGAAGGCCCAAUAAAAGUGAACCUUAGGCGGGAUCCCCGUAAAGCCGAUUUUUUUCGGCAGCAACGGGGGCGCACCGCCAGCCCCUUUCGUUUGGUCAGCUCGUUGUUUCACCGCGGCGGGUCGGCGGAGGCGGAGCGAGAGCGUACACGUUAGGACCCGAAAGACGGUGAACUAUUCCCGGACAGGACGAAGCCGGAGGAAACUCCGGUGGAGGUCCGUAGCGAUUCUGACGUGCAAAUCGAUCAUCGGAUCCGGGUAUA